RNAcentral lists this ribosomal RNA (484 nucleotides) under uncultured bacterium. RNAcentral's name for it is "partial 16S ribosomal RNA". It matches the Rfam family "Bacterial small subunit ribosomal RNA", at positions 28 to 507 of the family's 1533-position model. The record is from RNAcentral.
AUUGAACGCUGGCGGCAUGCUUUACACAUGCAAGUCGAACGGCAGCGCGGGCUUAGGCUUGGCGGCGGGUGGCGAACGGGGGAGUGAUGCAUGGGAACGUGCGCAGCUGUGGUGGAGAGCAAGGUGAAAGCCGGAUGAAUACGGCAUAAGAGCUGAGGGUGAAAGCGGGGGAGCGGGAGGCCUUGGGCUCUUGGAGGGGUCGAUGUCGGAUUAGCUAGUUGGUGGGGUAAAGGGUUACCAAGUCGACGAUCCGUAGCUGGUCUGAGAGGACGACCAGCCACACUGGGACUGAGACACGGCCCAGACUCCUACGGGAGGCAGCAGUGUGGAAUUUUGGACAAUGGGGGCAACCCUGAUCCAGCCAUGCCGCGUGCGAGAAGAAGGCCUUCGGGUUGUAAACCCCUUUUGUUCGGGAAGAAAUCCUCUCGGCUAAUACCCCGGGGGGAUGACGGUACCGGAAGAAUAAGCACCGGCUAACUACGUG